GCUCCUUGAGGCUGCUCAGUUGGGUAGAGCGUGGUGCUGAUAAUGCCAAGGUCGCAGGUUCGAUCCCUGGAUGGGACA
Non-coding RNA from Podarcis lilfordi (Lilford's wall lizard), 78 nucleotides. NCBI's taxonomy places the organism in Eukaryota, Metazoa, Chordata, Lepidosauria, Squamata, Lacertidae. The record is from the annotation of a GenBank genome assembly.